UACGUAGGAUGCAAGCGUUGUCCGGAAUUACUGGGCGUAAAGCGCGCGCAGGCGGCGCCUUAAGUUGGACGUGAAAGCUCCCGGCUCAACUGGGAAGGGUCGUUCAAAACUGAGGUGCUUGAGGGCAGGAGAGGAAAGUGGAAUUCCCGGUGUAGUGGUGAAAUGCGUAGAUAUCGGGAGGAACACCAGUGGCGAAGGCGGCUUUCUGGCCUGCAUCUGACGCUGAGGCGCGAAGGCUGGGGGAGCGAACGGG
This 253-nucleotide ribosomal RNA is filed under the name uncultured bacterium. RNAcentral's name for it is "partial 16S ribosomal RNA". It matches the Rfam family "Bacterial small subunit ribosomal RNA", at positions 524 to 776 of the family's 1533-position model. The record is from RNAcentral.